RNAcentral lists this ribosomal RNA (362 nucleotides) under uncultured bacterium. RNAcentral's name for it is "partial 16S ribosomal RNA". It matches the Rfam family "Bacterial small subunit ribosomal RNA", at positions 338 to 697 of the family's 1533-position model. The record is from RNAcentral.
CCUACGGGAGGCAGCAGUGAGGAAUAUUGGUCAAUGGGCGCGAGCCUGAACCAGCCAAGUCGCGUGAGGGAUGAAGGUUCUAUGGAUCGUAAACCUCUUUUAUAAGGGAAUAAAGUGUGGGACGUGUCCUAUUUUGUAUGUACCUUAUGAAUAAGGAUCGGCUAACUCCGUGCCAGCAGCCGCGGUAAUACGGAGGAUCCGAGCGUUAUCCGGAUUUAUUGGGUUUAAAGGGUGCGUAGGCGGACUUUUAAGUCAGCUGUGAAAGCCUGUGGCUCAACCAUAGAAUGGCCGUUGAAACUGGGGUGCGUGAGUAUGUUUGAGGCAGGCGGAAGGCUAGGGGUAGCGGUGAAAUGCUUAGAUAU